AUACAGAGGGUGCGAGCGUUAAUCGGAAUUACUGGGCGUAAAGCGCGCGUAUGCGGCUUGGUCAGUCGGAUGUGAAAACCCCGGGCUCAACCUGGGAAUGGCAUUCGAUACUGCCAGGCUAGAGUAUGGGAGAGGGAAGUGGAAUUUCCGGUGUAGCGGUGAAAUGCGUAGAUAUCGGAAGGAACACCAGUGGCGAAGGCGACUUCCUGGCCCAAUACUGACGCUGAGGUGCGAAAGCGUGGGGAGCGAACAGGAUUAGAAACCCCUGUAGUCC
RNAcentral lists this ribosomal RNA (274 nucleotides) under uncultured bacterium. Its description in RNAcentral is "partial 16S ribosomal RNA". It matches the Rfam family "Bacterial small subunit ribosomal RNA", at positions 523 to 796 of the family's 1533-position model. The record is from RNAcentral.